This is a small nucleolar RNA of Anolis carolinensis (green anole), 84 nucleotides long. NCBI's taxonomy places the organism in Eukaryota, Metazoa, Chordata, Lepidosauria, Squamata, Anolidae. The record is from Ensembl.
GUGGUCUGUGAUGAUGCCUUUCCACCAUUAGUUCGAGUGUCAUGGCCAUGAGAUAACUCUACAUGCACUACCAUCUGAGGCCAC